This 1154-nucleotide long non-coding RNA is filed under the name Gallus gallus (chicken). RNAcentral's name for it is "lncRNA (ENSGALG00010026556.1)". Lineage: Eukaryota; Metazoa; Chordata; Aves; Galliformes; Phasianidae. The record is from RNAcentral.
GCAUUGCACGCACCUGAGCUCCCCGGGCUGGCCCGGCCUUCCGCCACGUGCUCCGUCACUGCUUCAGGCCGGGACUCAGCACUGCCACUACAGAUGGGGUGGUGGCACAUGGGGAGGAUGGGGAUGCCAUGGGAUGGUGGCACAUGGAAGGGUGGAGGUGUUCAGCAAUGGUGACACAUGGGCAGAGUGGAGGUGCCAUGGGAUGGUGGCACAUGGAAGGGAUGGAGAUGCCCUGGGAUGGUGGCACAUGGAUAGGAUGGAGGUGUUCAGAAAUGGUGACACGUGGGCAGAGUGGAGAUGCCCUGGGAUGGUGGCACAUGGAAGGGUGGAGGUGUUCAGAAAUGGUGACACGUGGGCAGAGUGAAGGUGCUGUGGGAUGGUGGCACAUGGGAGGAUGGAGACAUCCAGUUUGGCACAGGGACAGGACGGAGAUGCGGUGGGAUGGUGGCACAUGGAAGGAUGGAGACGGUAUGCGAUGGUGGCACAGGGACAGGAUGGAGAUGUGGUGGGAUGGUGGCACAUGGAAGGGUGGAGACAUCCAGUUUGGCACAGGGACAGGAUGGGGAUGCGAUGGGAUGGUGGCACAGGGAUAGGACGGAGGCGCUGAGAAGCGGCGGCGCAGGGCAGGUGGGGGUGUUAUGGGCAGGUGGGGUUGUUAUGGGCCGGCGGCGCAGCGAAGGACGGAGGUGGGGACGCCGGGAGGCGGCGCAGUGCGGCCCGCUGUGGGGCGGCGCAGAGCUGCGGCGCUGGGAGCGUUUGGUUCUCAUUAUGGGCUGCUGGCAGCGGCGGUGGAAAAAAUAGCAGUGAGUGCAGAGCUGGGAGGGAGAGGGGCCGUGGAGGGGCGGCUGCGGUGUGCAAACAGCGAGCGGUGAGCACGGCCAGCGUGCAAAUACAGCGUGCAACGUGUGCUCAGCGUGCAACGUGCAAAUAAAGCGUGCAGCGUGUGUGCUUAGUGUGCAAGGAAAGCGUGCAACGUGUGCUCAGCGUGCAACGUGCAUAUAAAGUGUGCGGCAUGUGUGCUCAGUGUGCAAAGAAAGUGUGCAACGUGUGCUCAGCGUGCAUAUAAAGUGAGCAACGUGUGCUCACUGUGCAAGGAAAGCAUGCAAUGUGUGCUCAGAGUGCAACAUGCAAAUAAAGCGUGCAGUGUGUGUGCU